Molecule: microRNA, 23 nt
Filed under: Drosophila melanogaster (fruit fly)
Lineage: Eukaryota; Metazoa; Arthropoda; Insecta; Diptera; Drosophilidae
Also listed under: 2 other names
Description: Dme-Iab-4-as_3p* (star (passenger))
Source: RNAcentral
AGGAUACAUUCAGUAUACGUUUA